GGCUCGUGCCUCACCAUUGCUUUGAGUCAUUUCCUUUUCUCUCCUUCCAUUUUCUCAGUGGCCAAGCGCCCUCCAGUUUGGAGUUGAUGGUUGGUAGAGGACUUACUGCAGCUUCGAGUUGUCAGACUUGUGUGCGGAACUUUCUUCCGUUCAGUAGAACAAUCCUGCCCUCCCAACUGCGUUGCCACCAAAAGACCUUCCGCACCACCUGUGCCUGGCUCCUUGGGAGUGUCCCACUGCUGGUGAGGAGCUGUGUGCUGUGUCCAGCUUCCCCUGUAGGGAAGUCGUUUGGUCGGGUCCCCCGAGUGCUCCCCAGGGGCACACCCAUUCUAGACCUGGAGGUGCAACUUAGCAGUCGGGAGGAAAAAAUGACAAAACACACAAAGAAACCAACAGUCCCCCUCCCCGCCCUCAAGAAAGGGCUUAACAGUCAGUAGGAACAGAGUUGGGGGUGGUCUGGAAAGCGCGGGGUCCCCUUCGAGACGCCCCUCUGCUUUCAUUGCUGCUUUGCCCCCCAGUCCCUCAGGUACGAGCUGGAGCGUUGAGUCAGGACAGUUCUGCCUUUGCGGAGCGGACUUGCGUGUGUUUUCUCUCUGCUCUCCUUGCGUUCCAGGGCCUUCCUGUCGUUUUUUGUAUUUGGUUACAAGAUUAUAGUU
Molecule: long non-coding RNA, 656 nt
Filed under: Oryctolagus cuniculus (rabbit)
Lineage: Eukaryota; Metazoa; Chordata; Mammalia; Lagomorpha; Leporidae
Description: lncRNA (ENSOCUG00000034143.1)
Source: RNAcentral